CAAGCGGAUCUCUUAAAGNUGUUCUCAGUUCGGACUGCAGUCUGCAACUCGACUGCACGAAGCUGGAAUCGCUAGUAAUCGCGGAUCAGCACGCCGCGGUGAAUACGUUCCCGGGCCUUGUACACACCGCCCGUCAAGCCAUGGAAGCCGGGAGUGCCUGAAGUGCGUGAGCGCAAGCAGCGCCCUAAAGGUAAAACCGGUGACUGGGGCUAAGUCGUAACAAGGUACC
Molecule: ribosomal RNA, 229 nt
Filed under: uncultured bacterium
Lineage: Bacteria
Description: partial 16S ribosomal RNA
Rfam family: Bacterial small subunit ribosomal RNA
Source: RNAcentral